UAGAGUUUGAUCCUGGCUCAGGGUGAACGCUUGUAGCAUACUUUACACAUGCUAGUCUAAUGAUUUUUUCAUGGCGUACAGGUGAGUAAUACAUAAGAAUUUGCCUCAGAAUUCCGGGAUAUUCGUAUUUGAUUUUAUCAAAGAGUGUUUUACAUCGAGAAUACCGAAUUAAAAAAGGCUUACGGCCGUUUUGAGAUAAGCUUAUGCAGGAUUAGGUUGUUGGUGAGGUAAAGGCUCACCAAGCCGAAGAUCCUUAGUUGAUCUGAGAGGAUGAUCAGCCACACUGGGACUGAGAUAAGGCCCAGGCUUUUAGCCAGCAGUGAGGAAUUUUGGACAAUGGGCGAAAGCCUGAUCCAGUAAUGCUACGUGAAUGAUGAUAAGCACAAAAGGUCUUUAUACUCUUUGAGUUAAAGGUUGGCUGUAAAGUUCUUUCACUGAUGAAGAUAAUGACGUUAUUCAGAGAAGAAGUCCCGGCUAACUUCGUGCCAGCAGCCGCGGUAAUACGAAGGGGGCGAGCGUUACCCGGAAUUAUUGGGCGUAAAGUGUUCGUAGACUGUAUUUGAUUUUUUAUGUAAAAUAUCAGGCUUAAAGCUUGAAAAUGCGUAUAAUAAACUUUCGACUAGAGUUUACAGAGGAUAACAGAAUUUUAUAGUAUAGGGGUAAAAUCCGAAGAUUUAUAAAGGAAUGUCAGCGGCGAAGGCGGUUAUCUGGGUUAUUACUGACGUUGAGGAACGAAAGCGUAGGGAGCAAACAGGAUUAGAGACCCUGGUAGUCUACGCUGUCAAAGAUGAAUGCUAUCGUUGGGAUUAUUUUCUGGCGAACAGCUAACGCGUUAAGCAUUCCGCCUGGGGAGUACGAUCGCAAGGUUGGAACUCAAAGGAAUUGGCGGGGGUCUACACAAGUGGUGGAGCAUGUGGUUUAAUGCGAUAAUACGCGCGAAACCUUACCAGUUCUUGAAUAUUUUCUAUAAAAAAUUUCUAUAAAAAUUUUUUUGUUUCUAAUGAUUCAUUAGUAAAAAUAAGAAAUUACAGGUGUUGCAUGGCUGUCGUCAGCUCGUGCCGUGAGGUGUUUGGUUAAGUCCUUUAACGAGCGCAACUCUUAUUUUAGAUUGGUAGUAUUUUUCAGUUUUGUUUAAAAGCCCACUUCUAUUAGACUGCCUGUGAUAUACAGGAGGAAGGUGAGAAUGACGUCAAGCCCUUAUGACCCUUAUGAACUGGGCUACACACGUGCUACAAUGAUAUUUACAAAGAGUAUUGCAAUAAAGUUAUUUGGAGCUAAUCUUAAAAAGAUAUCAUAUUCGGAUUGUAGGCUGAAAUUCGCCUACAUGAAGUUGGAAUCACUAGUAAUCGUAGAUCAGCACGCUACGGUGAAUCUUUACCUAGACCUUGCACACACCGCCCGUCACAUGCUAGAAGGAGGCUUUAUUUGAAAUUGGCUCUUUUUUAAACUUUUUUUAUUAUUUCAACUUGUUAUAAUAUCUCAAAAAUUUUUACAAAAAGAGUUACUUAUUAUAAGGUCUGUAACUGGGAUGAAGUCGUAACAAGGUAACCA
RNAcentral lists this ribosomal RNA (1551 nucleotides) under uncultured bacterium. RNAcentral's name for it is "bacterial SSU rRNA". It matches the Rfam family "Bacterial small subunit ribosomal RNA". The record is from RNAcentral.